Molecule: ribosomal RNA, 483 nt
Filed under: uncultured bacterium
Lineage: Bacteria
Description: partial 16S ribosomal RNA
Rfam family: Bacterial small subunit ribosomal RNA
Source: RNAcentral
AUUGAACGCUAGCGGGAUGCUUUACACAUGCAAGUCGAACGGCAGCGCGGACUUCGGUCUGGCGGCGAGUGGCGAACGGGUGAGUAAUGUAUCGGAACGUGCCCAGUAGCGGGGGAUAACUACGCGAAAGCGUAGCUAAUACCGCAUACGCCCUACGGGGGAAAGCAGGGGAUCGUAAGACCUUGCACUAUUGGAGCGGCCGAUAUCGGAUUAGCUAGUUGGUGAGGUAACGGCUCACCAAGGCGACGAUCCGUAGCUGGUUUGAGAGGACGACCAGCCAACCUGGAACGGGAAACGGCCCCGAAUCCUUACGGGGGGAGGAGUUGGGAAAUUUGGGAAAUGGGGGCAACCCUGAUCCAGCCAUCCCGCGUGUGCGAUGAAGGCCUUCGGGUUGUAAAGCACUUUUGGCAGGAAAGAAACGUCGCGGGCUAAUACCCCGUGGAACUGACGGUACCUGCAGAAUAAGCACCGGCUAACUACGUG